AGACACCCUCUGCGCAGAAAGAUAUUGGAAGAAAAGGCCAAAUUGACAGCUGCCAUAGAGGAGUACAACACCCUUGUACCAGAUUCAGCAAUACCAUCUGCAGAUGAGAUCCUUUCCGCAGACCAUGCAUGGCCUUGGGAGCUGCAUGGACAAAGUAAGUAGUAUGUUUGUGUGUCACAAUAACUAUGUUUCUGUUUUGCUAUCUGUGUUUGUUCAGUUGCGCAAACACAGACAGCACUGCCCUUAAAGUUACAAAUCCACAUUGCAUUCUUAUGAAUUUACAGCUGACCUACUCACAAAGAAAAUAGCCUUUGUGUGAUGCUCCUCAGGUGAUGCUCCUGAGACGGCUGAAGGAGGAAGAGUUAAUUGUUCUAAAGGAAGUCAAGCAGCACUGGGAAAGCCUAAAGAGGGAAUCCGAGAAUGUGCAAGACCUUGCUUCACAUGUGGCACUUGACCUAAGCAGGCAAACGUUUGGCCACGUCUUCGGUUUGGUCGUUCGGCCAGAGUUUGUUUUGGUUAUGUGCGUCGCAAUGCCCGUUACGUAAUAGACUAUGUUUCUGAAUUUUCUGAUUACAUUUUUUAACUAUUCAUAAAUUAUUCUUGCGCAAUGUUACUUUUAUUUGAAUGUCAGAAACAUUGUCAGAUUCUAUUAAAUAAUUGAUGCAACAGACUGUCAUGCUCAGCGAGUUGGAGGGUUUUUUGAGGGUGGCAGGGUGACAGGACUUUCUCCCCAUCUUCUUUGGUUUGGUUUGGGUGAAGCUGGUCUCCUGAGCGGUGGGGGUUAUUGGGGGUUCAACUUGGUUAAGGAUGGGGGUGUAGCUGAUCUCCUGGGCGGUGGGGGAUAUCGGGGGUUCAACCUGGGUGAUGAGGAGGGUGUAGCUGGUCUCCUGGGGGGCAACUGUAUCAGACAGUUCUUGGGCAGCCACAGGAGGAGGGUUGGAGGGAUGUAGUGUGGAGGUAUGGGUGUUGAUUGCCACUGCGAAAGAGAACAUAUUAAGUAAAUGGGACAGAUAAGUGGACAACAGUUUCCAAU
This 1033-nucleotide long non-coding RNA is filed under the name Salmo trutta (river trout). Its description in RNAcentral is "lncRNA (ENSSTUG00000010055.1)". The record is from RNAcentral. Lineage: Eukaryota; Metazoa; Chordata; Actinopteri; Salmoniformes; Salmonidae.